This is a non-coding RNA of Colletotrichum gloeosporioides, 116 nucleotides long. The record is from Rfam. NCBI's taxonomy places the organism in Eukaryota, Fungi, Ascomycota, Sordariomycetes, Glomerellales, Glomerellaceae.
ACAUACGACCAUACCCAUUGGAAAACUCGGGAUCCCGUCCGCUCUCCCAGAUAAGCCAAUGAGGGCUGGAAGUAGUCGGGUCGGUGACGACCGGCGAAUGCCCGGUGUUGUAUGUU